AUACUUACCUGGCGUAGGGGUUACCGUGAUCACGAAGGCGGUUCCCUCGGGGCAAAGCUUGACCAUUGCACAUUCGGUUGAGUAGAACCCUGCGAUUAUUCCUAAUGUGAAUAACUCGUGCGUGGAAUUUUUGGGUGUCGGGAUGGCAUACGCGCCGACCCGGU
RNAcentral lists this small nuclear RNA (164 nucleotides) under Teleopsis dalmanni. RNAcentral's name for it is "U1 spliceosomal RNA". It matches the Rfam family "U1 spliceosomal RNA". From Rfam's summary of the family: U1 is a small nuclear RNA (snRNA) component of the spliceosome (involved in pre-mRNA splicing). Its 5' end forms complementary base pairs with the 5' splice junction, thus defining the 5' donor site of an intron. Lineage: Eukaryota; Metazoa; Arthropoda; Insecta; Diptera; Diopsidae. The record is from RNAcentral.